CAAAACUUUGGUCGGCACUAGGCUAUUGUAGAAGACACUUACCCAAGGUGCCACGCAGUGGGACUGAACCCAGAACCAUAUGGUUGGUAAGCAAA
Octopus sinensis (East Asian common octopus) is the source of this 95-nucleotide long non-coding RNA. RefSeq lists it as uncharacterized. Lineage: Eukaryota; Metazoa; Mollusca; Cephalopoda; Octopoda; Octopodidae. The record is from RefSeq and is a predicted model, not a curated record. The transcript is spliced from 3 exons.